This 499-nucleotide ribosomal RNA is filed under the name uncultured bacterium. RNAcentral's name for it is "partial 16S ribosomal RNA". It matches the Rfam family "Bacterial small subunit ribosomal RNA", at positions 28 to 506 of the family's 1533-position model. The record is from RNAcentral.
GACGAACGCUGGCGGCGUGCUUAACACAUGCAAGUCGAACGGGUCUGCCCUGUUUUUUGCGGGGUGGGUCAGUGGCGAACGGGUGAGUAACACGUGAGUAACCUGCCCCUCACUUCUGGAUAACCGCUUGAAAGGGUGGCUAAUACGGGGUGUUCUGGCUGUGCCGCAUGGUGUGGCUGGGAAAGAUUCACUUUUGUGGUGUUUUGGUGGGGGAUGGGCUCGCGGCCUAUCAGCUUGUUGGUGGGGUGAUGGCCUGCCAAGGCUUUGACGGGUAGCCGGCCUGAGAGGGUGGGCGGGCACACUGGGACUGAGAUACGGCCCAGACUCCUGCGGGAGGCAGCAGUGGGGGGUAUUGCACAAUGGGCGGAAGCCUGAUGCAGCGACGUCGCGUGAGGGAUGGAGGCCGUCGGGUUGUGAACCUCUUUCGCCGGUGAAGAAGGUCCUGCUCUUUGUGGUGGGGUUGACGGUAGCCGGGUUAUGAAGCGCCGGCUAACUACGU